Molecule: long non-coding RNA, 934 nt
Organism: Oncorhynchus tshawytscha (Chinook salmon)
Lineage: Eukaryota; Metazoa; Chordata; Actinopteri; Salmoniformes; Salmonidae
Source: Ensembl
UCUCUCUACCCCUUCGAGAAGAGUGGUUGUCGCAAACAUGCCUCCAUUUAUUACGGGGGACCAAAUCAAGAAAGAGCUGAGUCAUUUUGCCUCAGUAGAACACACCUGACUAUCCUCCACCAGUCAUACAAGGAGAAUAGUCUAAUGCCUAUCAAAAAGAGAUCUGACCCAAGCAAGCACAGGUUACACAUGAAGCAUCAGGACUUGCAGCGAGUGGUGAACUUCAUCAACACCUAUGCAGAGGAUAAUGCAAUAGUAUUACCUGGACGCCAACCAGGACACAAACACUUUGGUCGGAAGCUGCUGCCAUGUCAUGUGACACAAACUGCAGUGUGGCAUCUCUACAAGGAAAUGAUGACAACACAUGAGGUAUGUGUAGUCGCGCUGUCUUCCUUCAAGAAUUUGUGGACCACCUGACUCCGUACUUUAGCCUAAUGUCACAGAUCAAGCAGUACCAGCACUUCAGGAGCAUGGUUUUGUUGUCGCCAAGGAGCGUUCAGACUCAGUUGGGACCAGGUUUCAGCUGCUCCCAGUCAUCAUGACUAUCUGCACUGCCUCUAUGCACAUUCACAUGACUUUCUCUUAACACACACAGCAUACGUUGCUGCUAUUAUAAAAAAUGCAUCCUGCUGCUCAGCCACUUUACUGCUUAUUGUAUGCAUAUAUGUAACUACCUUGUGUAUCACCAGUAUCUCUGACAUCGUUAUUGAUAUUGUUCUUGUACAUACUGUAUAGUUUGUUCUUUCUCUACUGGCAUUGACACUUAUUGUUAUUGGUUUUUAUAUAUUGACACUUUCUAUUUUUUAUAUUGCAAGUAACCAUUUGGUUGUACCGUUUACACUUUCUGUAGAGACCCAUCCACUUGGCAUUAUGUCGCUGGGGGUUAUAGAAUUUCUUUCACAUGACCCAUCAAGUUAGACAAGUGUGUCUGGGU